RNAcentral lists this ribosomal RNA (301 nucleotides) under uncultured bacterium. RNAcentral's name for it is "partial 16S ribosomal RNA". It matches the Rfam family "Bacterial small subunit ribosomal RNA", at positions 509 to 809 of the family's 1533-position model. The record is from RNAcentral.
CAGCAGCCGCGGUAAUACGUAGGUGGCAAGCGUUGUCCGGAAUUAUUGGGCGUAAAGGGCUCGCAGGCGGUUCCUUAAGUCUGAUGUGAAAGCCCCCGGCCCAACCGGGGAGGGUCAUUGGAAACUGGGAAACUUGAGUGCAGAAGAGGAGAGUGGAAUUCCACGUGUAGCGGUGAAAUGCGUAGAGAUGUGGAGGAACACCAGUGGCGAAGGCGACUCUCUGGUCUGUAACUGACGCUGAGGAGCGAAAGCGUGGGGAGCGAACAGGAUUAGAUACCUGGGUAGUCCCUGUCUCUUAUAA